RNAcentral lists this unclassified non-coding RNA (150 nucleotides) under uncultured Chaetosphaeriaceae. RNAcentral's name for it is "sequence contains ITS1". Lineage: Eukaryota; Fungi; Ascomycota; Sordariomycetes; Chaetosphaeriales; Chaetosphaeriaceae. The record is from RNAcentral.
CAGGACUCGCAAGACUCCUUCAACCCUGUGAACUUACUACAAAGCACGUUGCUUCGGCGGGUGUCCCGGGUGUCCCGGGGCGCUGUGCCCGCCGGCAGCCUACAAAUUCUGUUUCUUUGCGUUGGCAUCUCGAGUAAACCAAAUAAGUUA